Molecule: long non-coding RNA, 1401 nt
Organism: Brienomyrus brachyistius
Lineage: Eukaryota; Metazoa; Chordata; Actinopteri; Osteoglossiformes; Mormyridae
Exons: 3
Source: RefSeq, a predicted model, not a curated record
ACAGUGAUCUGUAACCGGACGCCCGUAACCCAGCCUGUGUGCAGCGCCGGAGAAAGCCUCUUCUGAUGUAAACAAUGCUGUUGCUGGUGAUUAACGGCUGCACGCAGGCGUGUGUUUUUCCCCCAAGAUGCCCCCAACGGUUCAAGGAGAGCAGCGGCAAGCAGCACCGUGGGGCAGGCUGGGUGGGAUGGAGCACAACUUAAGAGCCGCACAGUAUCUGGUCUUUACUUACCUGUUUCUGACUGACCUUUAUGCAGAAGUCCGGGUCUGCGUACCCUGCUGUGUUUCCAGAGGUCAGUCACCUCCCCGGACUUCAAUCAAACGCUACCCCAUCACCCGCGCCGCUUUCUAAACAUCUCUGGCCUUUGGUGACCCUCGAUUCCAAAGCACUUCGUCCAGGAAAUGAGAUGUGGACAGCUGGGCUGCCAGUGUGGACAUGCUGCAUAAAGACAGAAUUUCUCUCAGCUCUAUUUCAGAAUCAGUCUGCUGUUCCGUCUCACGACAGCAGCUCUUUCAUUCAGCAGCUCUGUUUCCACGGUUACCGUCAACCCGGGGCCGCAGAAUGCCCUCAUGCUCCCGGAUGUGACCGUCCCCAUUCCCUGUGUUUGGAAACGAGCUGGAGGAACCAUCAGAACUUACAUUUACACUUAGCAUAUGUGAAUGAAAUUGGAUGGUGAUUCAUCAGACAUUGCGGGAGACAGGCAGACCCAGUGUCAGCUCAGGACAGGAGAGACCGCAUGCUACAUGGGGCCAGUAGCUGAGGACAUGUGUGUCUGUGACACAGCUUGGAACAGGAUGCAGAAUCUACUGCUCCUCAAUCACCCGGACCUCCUUAGACAUUGUGCUGUUCAGGCAGGGAUUAUUCACAUUCAUUUGUCUGGUGCUUGAGGUACUGGAUUAAAAAGUAAACUGUGGUCUUACAAGGAUGUUUACAUUGUAACCCAGGAAAAAAGCACAUAGCUAGAUUUACUUUAAAAUGCAGUCAUCCAUCCAUUAGCUUCCAACUCCACGUCCAGCACACAUUCAACUGCCUGAUAAAAUAUAUGAAAACUGUAAACUAAGAUUCUUUAUAUGAUAUUUGAUGAGAAAAUGAAAAAGGUUAUUUGGUUUGUUGUGUCUAAAACAAUACGUGGUGUCAGCUUUGAGCUCACUGCGGAAUCAGAUCCUGAACUCACACCUCCAGUGUGUCUAACACAGCCUGUCUGACUCUCUCACUUUCCGUCCACUGGACUGUCAUCACUGAUUUCCUCAAGUAACUUGUAUCCUUCACCCAGAAUGUGACGCUUCUUCCAUAGGUUCCAUACCUUCCUAGAUUUAUUUAACUCCUCGGGGUUUUUUUCUACCUUUUUUUACAGGCUCAUUCCGGUCCUGUGCAACCCUGAGCGCGCUCAGCAGUCAGCA